GGUCCCAUCGUCUAGUGGCCAAGGACGCUGGCCUCUCACGCCGGAAACACGAGUUCGAACCUCGUUGGGACCACCA
Molecule: transfer RNA, 76 nt
Filed under: Syntrophorhabdus sp. PtaU1.Bin058
Lineage: Bacteria; Pseudomonadati; Thermodesulfobacteriota; Syntrophorhabdia; Syntrophorhabdales; Syntrophorhabdaceae
Also listed under: 1 other name
Description: tRNA-Glu
Rfam family: tRNA
About the family: Transfer RNA (tRNA) molecules are approximately 80 nucleotides in length. Their secondary structure includes four short double-helical elements and three loops (D, anti-codon, and T loops).
Source: RNAcentral